UUGAAGUUACCUGGGAUCUGAGGUGCUGCUUUCUCUAUUAACAGGUUUUCCUCAUUCCUUUUUUCAUCCCAGGUUGGUACCUCUGAUUCUUAUUUUUGCCUGCACUCAAGUUCAGUAGACUCAGUGAUGGAAAGGAGAAUUAUGGUAAUAGGACAGGGACAUGAGGAAGCAAGCUGGAGGAAGGACUGGAUCUUGUCCUCCUCCCCCCACACAACUUCCUGUUCUCUUCUCAACUGAUUUGAAUGCUCUUCUCAGAAUGAGAACAUGGCACAGUUUCUCCAGUCAGUGCUAAUGAUGAGUAGAACGACAUAAUGGAGAGCAUGCUGCGUACA
Molecule: long non-coding RNA, 332 nt
Filed under: Monodelphis domestica (gray short-tailed opossum)
Lineage: Eukaryota; Metazoa; Chordata; Mammalia; Didelphimorphia; Didelphidae
Description: lncRNA (ENSMODG00000038546.1)
Source: RNAcentral